GUCAACUGGACCUCUUUCGGGCGGAAAAUAGCCCAUAACUGAAAUUAAAACAACAAAAUUCAUUGCCUGUUUCAUUUCCUUUUAAUAUAAACAUAAUUUCCAUAAAUACGAAGAAAAGAAGUUCCAUAAAAAAAAGAAGGAAAUUCUCAAAGGUUGUGCAAAGACAAAGAGGAAAAGAGAUGAGGAUUUUUGGGAAGCACAUAUUUCCAAGACAAAUUAUACUCUUCUCUUCUGGGGUAUUGUUCUUGGCCUCAACAACAUAUGACGUGCACAGAUCCAUAAAGAACAACGAAACACCACCGUCUGAAGAGCAAAUUCAAGCACUUGAAGAUUACAUAAACGCUGUUCGUCGUCCUUCUUAGACUAUCGCUCCAUAUUAUGCCACGUUUACUGUUAUGUACUUAAGACCGGUCCAUAUUACGCCACGUAUCUUGUUAUUACCUAAUUAAUUUAUGAAAAGGGAUAUUGUAAUUUA
Nicotiana tabacum (common tobacco) is the source of this 475-nucleotide long non-coding RNA. RefSeq lists it as uncharacterized. The record is from RefSeq and is a predicted model, not a curated record. Lineage: Eukaryota; Viridiplantae; Streptophyta; Magnoliopsida; Solanales; Solanaceae.